This 253-nucleotide ribosomal RNA is filed under the name uncultured Lachnospiraceae bacterium. RNAcentral describes it as "partial 16S ribosomal RNA". It matches the Rfam family "Bacterial small subunit ribosomal RNA", at positions 524 to 776 of the family's 1533-position model. The record is from RNAcentral. Lineage: Bacteria; Bacillati; Bacillota; Clostridia; Lachnospirales; Lachnospiraceae.
UACGUAGGGGGCAAGCGUUAUCCGGAUUUACUGGGUGUAAAGGGAGCGUAGACGGCCAGACAAGUCAGAAGUGAAAGCCCAGGGCUCAACCCUGGGACUGCUUUUGAAACUGCCGGGCUGGAGUGCAGGAGAGGUAAGCGGAAUUCCUAGUGUAGCGGUGAAAUGCAUAGAUAUCACGCAGAACUCCGAUUGCGAAGGCAGCUCACUGGACUGCAACUGACACUGAGGCUCGAAAGUGUGGGUAUCAAACAGG